This 260-nucleotide ribosomal RNA is filed under the name uncultured archaeon. RNAcentral describes it as "partial 16S ribosomal RNA". It matches the Rfam family "Archaeal small subunit ribosomal RNA", at positions 748 to 1008 of the family's 1478-position model. The record is from RNAcentral.
AGGGUGUAAACGCUGCAGACUUGGUGUUGGAGGCCCUUUGGGGGCAUUCAGUGCCGGAGAGAAGUUGUUAAGUCUGCUACUUGGGGAGUACGUCCGCAAGGAUGAAACUUAAAGGAAUUGGCGGGGGAGCACCGCAACGGGAGGAGCGUGCGGUUUAAUUGGAUUCAACACCGUAAACUCACCAGGGAAGACUGUUACAUGAAGUCCGAGAUGAAGACUCUGCUAGAUUUUCAGAGAGGUGGUGCAUGGCGUCAGUGACU